ACGGAAGGCAGCAGUGGGGAAUAUUGGGCAAUGGACGAAAGUCUGACCCAGCGACGCCGCGUGAGGGAAGAAGGUCUUCGGAUUGUAAACCUUAGUCAACAGGGAAGAAGUAAGUGACGGUACCUGUGGAGGAAGCCACGGCUAACUACGUGCCAGCAGCCGCGGUAAUACGUAGGUGGCGAGCGUUAUCCGGAAUUACUGGGUGUAAAGGGCGUGUAGGCGGAACUGUAAGUCAGAUGUGAAAUCCCGGGGCUCAACCCCGGAACUGCAUUUGAAACUGCAGUCCUUGAGUAUCGGAGAGGCAAGCGGAAUUCCUAGUGUAGCGGUGAAAUGCGUAGAUAUUAGGAGGAACACCAGUGGCGAAGGCGGCUUGCUGGACGACAACUGACGCUGAGGCUCGAAAGCGUGGGGAGCAAACAGGAUUAGAUACCCUGGUA
RNAcentral lists this ribosomal RNA (437 nucleotides) under uncultured Clostridium sp. RNAcentral's name for it is "partial 16S ribosomal RNA". It matches the Rfam family "Bacterial small subunit ribosomal RNA", at positions 341 to 792 of the family's 1533-position model. Lineage: Bacteria; Bacillati; Bacillota; Clostridia; Eubacteriales; Clostridiaceae. The record is from RNAcentral.